CGAUGCCGCGAGGCGGAGNGGACCCCACGAAAAUGGCGCCCCAGUUCGGACUGCAGCCUGCAACCCGGCUGCACGAAGCCGGAAUCGCUAGUGAUCGCGGAUCAGAAUGCCGCGGUGAAUACGUUCCCGGGUCUUGUACACACCGCCCGUCACACCAUGGGAGUCGGAAAUGCCCGAAGUCAGUGGCCCAACCGCGAGGGGGAGCUGCCGAAGGCAGGUCCGGUGACUGGGGUGAAGUCGUAACAAGGUACC
RNAcentral lists this ribosomal RNA (252 nucleotides) under uncultured bacterium. Its description in RNAcentral is "partial 16S ribosomal RNA". It matches the Rfam family "Bacterial small subunit ribosomal RNA", at positions 1250 to 1500 of the family's 1533-position model. The record is from RNAcentral.